RNAcentral lists this ribosomal RNA (579 nucleotides) under uncultured fungus. Its description in RNAcentral is "eukaryotic LSU rRNA". The stretch from base 221 to 374 matches the Rfam family "5.8S ribosomal RNA". The record is from RNAcentral. Lineage: Eukaryota; Fungi.
AAGUCGUAACAAGGUUUCCGUAGGUGAACCUGCGGAAGGAUCAUUAACGAGUUAGGGUUCUGAAAAUGAGCUCGACCUCCCAAUCCUGUGAUUACUUGACUAUAUUGUUGCUUCGGCGGGAUUCCGCCCUCGGCUCCGUCUGAGGUGGAUACCGUCGAUAGCCCCUUCAACAAACUCUAUAUAAACAUGUCUGACAUCAUUAUUUUUAAAAUUAAAACAAAACUUUCAACAACGGAUCUCUUGGUUCUGGCAUCGAUGAAGAACGCAGCGAAAUGCGAUAAGUAAUGCGAAUUGCAGAAUUCAGUGAGUCAUCGAAUCUUUGAACGCACAUUGCGCCCUUUGGUAUUCCGAAGGGCAUGCCUGUUCGAGCGUCAUUAUCAACCCUCAAGCUUUGGCUUGCUGUUGGGUCUGUUGAAAUGGGAGACCAUUUCACACCCGAAAGACAAUGACGGCGCUUGAUGGAAGCCUGGUACAAUGAGUCUUUUUAGGCACGUACUGUGGUCGACCGUCGAGCCCGGCCUCAACCCCAUUUUUCUAAAGGUUGACCUCGGAUCAGGUAGGAAUACCCGCUGAACUUAA